Molecule: ribosomal RNA, 452 nt
Filed under: uncultured Bifidobacterium sp.
Lineage: Bacteria; Bacillati; Actinomycetota; Actinomycetes; Bifidobacteriales; Bifidobacteriaceae
Description: bacterial SSU rRNA
Rfam family: Bacterial small subunit ribosomal RNA
Source: RNAcentral
UUCCACAUGAUCGCAUGUGAUUGUGGGAAAGAUUCUAUCGGCGUGGGGUGGGGUCGCGUCCUAUCAGCUUGUUGGUGAGGUAACGGCUCACCAAGGCUUCGACGGGUAGCCGGCCUGAGAGGGCGACCGGCCACAUUGGGACUGAGAUACGGCCCAGACUCCUACGGGAGGCAGCAGUGGGGAAUAUUGCACAAUGGGCGCAAGCCUGAUGCAGCGACGCCGCGUGAGGGAUGGAGGCCUUCGGGUUGUAAACCUCUUUUGUUUGGGAGCAAGCCUUCGGGUGAGUGUACCUUUCGAAUAAGCGCCGGCUAACUACGUGCCAGCAGCCGCGGUAAUACGUAGGGCGCAAGCGUUAUCCGGAUUUAUUGGGCGUAAAGGGCUCGUAGGCGGCUCGUCGCGUCCGGUGUGAAAGUCCAUCGCUUAACGGUGGAUCUGCGCCGGGUACGGGCGGG